AUACGUAGGGGGCGAGCGUUGUCCGGAAUGACUGGGCGCAAAGGGCGUGUAGGCGGCUGGAUAAGUCUGGAGUGAAAGUCCAGCAUUCAAUGUGGGAAUUGCUUUGGAGACUGUAUGGCUUGUGUGCGUAAGAGGUAAGUGGAAUUCCCAGUGUAGCGGUGAAAUGAGUAGAGAUUGGGAGGAACACCAGUGGCGAAGGCGACUUACUGGACUGUAACUGACGCUGAGGCGCGAAAGUGUGGGGAGCAAACAGGAUUAGAUACCCUGGUAGUCCACACUGUAAACGAUGAAUGCUAGGUGUAGGGGGUAUCGACCCCUUCUGUGCCGCAGUCAACACAAUAAGCAUUCCGCCUGGGGAGUACGGCCGCAAGGUUGAAACUCAAAGGAAUUGACGGGG
This 397-nucleotide ribosomal RNA is filed under the name uncultured bacterium. Its description in RNAcentral is "partial 16S ribosomal RNA". It matches the Rfam family "Bacterial small subunit ribosomal RNA", at positions 523 to 918 of the family's 1533-position model. The record is from RNAcentral.